Long non-coding RNA from Canis lupus familiaris (dog), 1339 nucleotides. RefSeq lists it as uncharacterized. The record is from RefSeq and is a predicted model, not a curated record. The transcript is spliced from 3 exons. Lineage: Eukaryota; Metazoa; Chordata; Mammalia; Carnivora; Canidae.
CAGGGCUCCAAGAUCACACUCUGGACUGAACGCGGCGCUAAACGGCUGAGCCACCCAGGCUGCUGCCCCUGCCUGCCUGUCCUCACCCACGGAGCAGUUGCUGGUUCCAGUUAUCGUCCCUUAGAGACAAGGGGCCAAGUUUCCCAGGCUCCCUGUCUUUGGGGUUAAUAGUUGAAGAAGGUGAGGCAUGAAGGGGACCAGCAGCUGACCCAAGGCUACGCGGGAGUGGCGGACAGAGGAUCGGAAGACAGGAGGUGUGGUCUGGGGUUUGCCCAGUUGACUCUACCUGGUUACUCUGGAGACAGAGACUGCAGAUGAGCCGACUUCCAGGUCAGCACGCACAGAGUUUUCUCUUUGCUGUCAGCAGCUGCCCGAUGCUUCGCCGGCUGGAGAUGUGCCACGCUCAUUUCAUCAGUCUCCUGACAACGGAUACGCAGGUCACUUCCAAUUUCUCCAUCUCAUGACCAACAUGCAGCAGCCUUCUGGGGCCGCUACCUCUGCCUGUUUCUGGGGAAGGGAUGUUUCCCAUGCGGUGGGGCUGGAGCUUGCAGUCUGAGCUGAGCCCUAGCCAGUGGGAAGAUAGAGUCCUCGGGAGAAAUAGAGGGUAGUGCCAGAAACGUUUCACCUGGAACAUGCAGGCGGAGGGUGAGAGCAUGGAGGGCACAGAGGGGAGCAGCGUCAGGCAGGUGAGGAGGCCGGCUCUGGGCUGGGGGCAGGUGCAGGCAGCACGACAAGGUCACGAGAGCUCUGGAUCUCAACCUGGGCAGGUGGCCAGUGAGAGAGAAGAGCAGCUCAAGUGCAGGGAGGGCUGCCCCCUCCGGCGUGUCCACAUGGACACCAGACAUCAGGGAGGUCGCUGCCUUAGCUCCCAGUAGCUGCGGUAACAAGUAACCACAAAGUUAGUGGCUUAAAACCACACACAUUCAUCACAUUCCAGUUCUGCACGUUAGAUGUGCCAUUGGGGGUGGGGGUAUCUCACUGGGUUAAAAUCAGUUAAGGAGUCAGGGCUCAUUCCUUUCUGGAGGCCCCAGGGGAGAAUCUGCUCCCUGGCCUUCUACAGCUUCUAGAGGUGCCUCGCUCCUUGGCUUGUGGCCCCUUUGCUAUCUUCAAAGCCAGAGGCAGAGCACCUCCCAACCUCUCCGAAUCCAACAGCUUCCAGGAAUUAGGGUGCAGACAGACAUCUUUGGGGGCCAUUCAUCAUUCUGCCUGCCACCAUGUCCCUUUAAUUAAGUUGGGAGCCAUACAUCUGAGACAAUAAAAGAGUUUUUAGGGGGAUCCCUGGGUGGCUCAGCGGUUUGGCGCCUGCCUUUGGCCCAGGGCGCGAUCCUGGAGUCCCAGG